UACGAAGGGGGCUAGCGUUGCUCGGAAUUACUGGGCGUAAAGGGUGUGUAGGCGGAUACUUAAGUCGGGGGUGAAAGCCCAGGGCUCAACCCUGGAAUAGCCUUCGAUACUGGGUAUCUUGAGUUCGGGAGAGGUAAGUGGAACUCCGAGUGUAGAGGUGAAAUUCGUAGAUAUUCGGAAGAACACCAGUGGCGAAGGCGACUUACUGGCCCGAUACUGACGCUGAAACACGAAAGCGUGGGGAGCAAACAGGG
This 254-nucleotide ribosomal RNA is filed under the name uncultured bacterium. RNAcentral describes it as "partial 16S ribosomal RNA". It matches the Rfam family "Bacterial small subunit ribosomal RNA", at positions 524 to 777 of the family's 1533-position model. The record is from RNAcentral.